RNAcentral lists this transfer RNA (58 nucleotides) under Dipodomys ordii (Ord's kangaroo rat). It matches the Rfam family "tRNA", at positions 8 to 63 of the family's 71-position model. From Rfam's summary of the family: Transfer RNA (tRNA) molecules are approximately 80 nucleotides in length. Their secondary structure includes four short double-helical elements and three loops (D, anti-codon, and T loops). Lineage: Eukaryota; Metazoa; Chordata; Mammalia; Rodentia; Heteromyidae. The record is from Rfam by way of RNAcentral.
UGGCUCAGUGGUAGAGUGCUUGCCUUACAUGCAUGAGGCCCUGGGUUUGAUUUCUCAG